CCCCUACUUUCAGCUUCAUUUACCUCUUAAUUCUCCUUUGCCUGGAAGUGAAUUGACCAAGGAACCUUUUCGUUGGGAUCAGAGACUCUUUGCAUUAGUGUUGCGGUUGCCUGGCACCAUGUCAGUAGAAUCAGAACAGUUGACAGGUGUGCCUUUAGAUGACUCUGCAAUCACACCAAUGUGUGAAGUGACAGGCGGCCGUUCAUAUUCUGUGUGUUCUCCAAGAAUGCUUAAUCAGUGUCUGGAGUCCUUGGUGCAGAAAGUACAAAGUGGGGUGGUAAUAAACUUUGAAAAAGCAGGACCAG
Molecule: long non-coding RNA, 305 nt
Filed under: Pan troglodytes (chimpanzee)
Lineage: Eukaryota; Metazoa; Chordata; Mammalia; Primates; Hominidae
Description: long non-coding RNA NONPTRT004481
Source: RNAcentral